RNAcentral lists this ribosomal RNA (212 nucleotides) under uncultured bacterium. Its description in RNAcentral is "partial 16S ribosomal RNA". It matches the Rfam family "Bacterial small subunit ribosomal RNA", at positions 1289 to 1500 of the family's 1533-position model. The record is from RNAcentral.
CAGUUCGGAUUGUAGUCUGCAACCCGACUACAUGAAGCCGGAAUCGCUAGUAAUCGCGGAUCAGAAUGCCGCGGUGAAUACGUUCCCGGGUCUUGUACACACCGCCCGUCACACCAUGGGAGUCGGAAAUGCCCGAAGUCUGUGACCCAACCGUAAGGAGGGAGCAGCCGAAGGCAGGUCGGAUGACUGGGGUGAAGUCGUAACAAGGUAGC